UCCCCGGUAGCUCAAUGGUGGAGCAGAGAGCUGUUAACUCUAAGGUUGCUGGUUCGAGCCCAGCCCGGGGAG
This 72-nucleotide transfer RNA is filed under the name Elusimicrobiota bacterium. RNAcentral's name for it is "tRNA-Asn". It matches the Rfam family "tRNA". From Rfam's summary of the family: Transfer RNA (tRNA) molecules are approximately 80 nucleotides in length. Their secondary structure includes four short double-helical elements and three loops (D, anti-codon, and T loops). The record is from RNAcentral. Lineage: Bacteria; Pseudomonadati; Elusimicrobiota.